UGGGGAAUAUUGGACAAUGGGCGAAAGCCUGAUCCAGCAAUGCCGCGUGAGUGAUGAAGGCCUUAGGGUUGUAAAGCUCUUUUACCCGGGAAGAUAAUGACUGUACCGGGAGAAUAAGCCCCGGCUAACUCCGUGCCAGCAGCCGCGGUAAUACGGAGGGGGCUAGCGUUGUUCGGAAUUACUGGGCGUAAAGCGUACGUAGGCGGCUUGGUAAGUUAGAGGUGAAAGCCUGGGGCUCAACCCCAGAAUUGCCUUUAAGACUGCCUCGCUUGAACGUCGGAGAGGUGAGUGGAAUUCCGAGUGUAGAGGUGAAAUUCGUAGAUAUUCGGAAGAACACCAGUGGCGAAGGCGGCUCACUGGACGACUGUUGACGCUGAGGUACGAAAGCGUGGGGAGCAAACAGG
This 404-nucleotide ribosomal RNA is filed under the name uncultured bacterium. Its description in RNAcentral is "bacterial SSU rRNA". It matches the Rfam family "Bacterial small subunit ribosomal RNA", at positions 355 to 776 of the family's 1533-position model. The record is from RNAcentral.